UACGGAGGGUGCAAGCGUUAUCCGGAUUCACUGGGUUUAAAGGGUGCGUAGGCGGGCAGGUAAGUCAGUGGUGAAAUCCUUGAGCUUAACUCGAGAACUGCCAUUGAUACUAUCUGUCUUGAAUAUUGUGGAGGUAAGCGGAAUAUGUCAUGUAGCGGUGAAAAUGCUUAGAUAUGACAUAGAACACCUAUUGCGAAGGCAGCUUACUACGCAUAUAUUGACGCUGAGGCACGAAAGCGUGGGGGAUCAAACAGG
This 255-nucleotide ribosomal RNA is filed under the name uncultured bacterium. RNAcentral describes it as "partial 16S ribosomal RNA". It matches the Rfam family "Bacterial small subunit ribosomal RNA", at positions 524 to 776 of the family's 1533-position model. The record is from RNAcentral.